GUGAUAAUGGUGGAAUUUGGUAGACACGCUUAGUUUAGGUCUAAGUCUUUCGAGAUUGCAAGUUCAAGUCUUGCUUAUCAUA
Non-coding RNA from Yarrowia lipolytica, 82 nucleotides. The record is from Rfam. Lineage: Eukaryota; Fungi; Ascomycota; Dipodascomycetes; Dipodascales.